This 1257-nucleotide long non-coding RNA is filed under the name Canis lupus dingo (dingo). Its description in RNAcentral is "lncRNA (ENSCAFG00020005016.1)". Lineage: Eukaryota; Metazoa; Chordata; Mammalia; Carnivora; Canidae. The record is from RNAcentral.
GGACUGCUCUCAUCGUGCUAAGUGACCAACACCCUCGGCAGGGAGACCCCGGGUGAUCCGCUCUGCUCCAAAGGGAUGGCAGGCUGGCUGGGGUCAGGAGGCUUCCGAGUGAGCAGUCUGCCUCCUGACCGACUGGAACUCCUCGCGCAGUGUGUGUCUUCGCCCAGUCCUGCCAUCCCCUCAACACUCGCCUCCAGAUCCGGGGAGCACUGGAAAGAGAAGCACUAUUCAACAAUAACGAGGUGGGGACCAGAGAGGAGAUUUUUAGAGAUGAGAUCAUUAGGGAUGAGAUUUUUAGCAUGUGUAAAUAUUUUAGAAACUCCCCAAGAAUUUUUUAAGAGAGAAUAUGUGUGGAAGCCAGACAGGGGGGCAAAGGGGAGAGAGGGAGAAUCUUUUUUUUUUUUUUAAAGAUUUAUUCAUUCAUGAGAGACAUAGAGAGAGGCAGAGACACAGGCAGAGGGAGAAGCAGGCUCCCUGCGGGGAGCCCAACAUGGGACUCAAUCCCGGGACCCCAGGAUCACACCCUGGGCCGGCGGCAGAUGCUCAAUCGCUGAGCCACCCAGGCUGCAAUCUUUUUUUUUUUUUUUAAGAUUUUAUUUAUUGGGGAGAAGAGAGCGAGCACACAGGUAGAAAGAGAAGGAGAGGGAGAAGCAGGCUCCCCACUGAGCAGGGAGCCGCAUGUGGGGCUCAAUCCCAGGACCCCGAGAUCGUGACCUGAGCCAAAGGCAGAGCCACCCAGGAGCCCCUACAGUUCUAUUUCUUAAUUUUUAUUUUUGUUCUUUUGGGGCUUCAGCAAAAUGACGUGGAUGCUAUGAACUUAACAAUUCCAUUUGGGAAGAUCUGUCACCUAACAAAGCAAAGCUGCCUCACUGCCACAUGCAGAGCAGAGUGAGAAGAAUCAUGCGUGCUGCCUCCCACGGCCAAGGAAAGCUGCGCCCGUGGCGAGGGGAGAGGAGGGCCGGCAUCCGAGGGGCAGAGGACCAGACGACAACUUCAUUCUCUCCCCAAAAAAGAGGGGACUGGACUCCCCUGGGGACCUGGCUCAGGCUCCCCACACACUGCCGCGACGGGGCCCUUAAGCAUCUCUCAGUCCCGGGACCAGAAGUCCUAGAUGGAUGUGGCAGCAGAUACUACAAACCUUGCCUCGGUCUGCAGUGCAAACUCCAAAACGUGGCAAAGGGUGGAGCAAAGGUAAGUAAGUGCCCUCUGCAUUUCAGCAGACAGGGCAGUGGUCUCCACUCGCGCUCACCCCAAUAG